GCGGGUGUGGCGGAACUGGCAGACGCGCCGGACUUAGGAUCCGGUGCCCGUAAGGGCGUGAGGGUUCGACUCCCUCCACCCGCACCA
Molecule: transfer RNA, 87 nt
Filed under: Aquificota bacterium
Lineage: Bacteria; Pseudomonadati; Aquificota
Description: Aquificae bacterium (hydrothermal vent metagenome) tRNA-Leu
Rfam family: tRNA
About the family: Transfer RNA (tRNA) molecules are approximately 80 nucleotides in length.
Source: RNAcentral